This 407-nucleotide ribosomal RNA is filed under the name uncultured bacterium. RNAcentral's name for it is "partial 16S ribosomal RNA". It matches the Rfam family "Bacterial small subunit ribosomal RNA", at positions 30 to 526 of the family's 1533-position model. The record is from RNAcentral.
AUUGAACGCUAGCGGGAUGCCUUACACAUGCAAGUCGAACGGAGUGGCGAACGGGUGAGUAAUGUAUCGGAACGUGCCCAGUAGCGGGGGAUAACUACGCGAAAGCGUAGCUAAUACCGAAUACUAUCGGACGGGCCGAGGUCGGAUUAGCUAGUUGGUGGGGUAAGGGCCCACCAAGGCGACGAUCCGUAGCUGGUGUGAGAGGAUGACCAGCCACACUGGAACGGAGACACGGCCCAGACUCCUACGGGAGGCAGCAGUGGGGAAUUUUGGACAAUGGGGGAAACCCUGAUCCAGCCAUCCCGCGUGUGCGAUGAAGGCCUUCGGGUUGUAAAGCACUUUUGGCAGGAAAGCGGUACCUGCAGAAUAAGCACCGGCUAACUACGUGCCAGCAGCCGCGGUAAUAC